AUUGAACGCUGGCGGCAGGCCUAACACAUGCAAGUCGAACGGUAGCACAGAGAGCUUGCUCUCGGGUGACGAGUGGCGGACGGGUGAGUAAUGUCUGGGAAACUGCCCGAUGGAGGGGGAUAACUACUGGAAACGGUAGCUAAUACCGCAUAACGUCGCAAGACCAAAGUGGGGGACCUUCGGGCCUCACACCAUCGGAUGUGCCCAGAUGGGAUUAGCUAGUAGGUGGGGUAAUGGCUCACCUAGGCGACGAUCCCUAGCUGGUCUGAGAGGAUGACCAUCCACACUGGAACUGCGCCACGGUCCAGACUCCUACGGGAGGCAGCAGUGGGGAAGAUUGCACAAUGGGCGCAAGCCUGAUGCAGCCAUGCCGCGUGUAUGAAGAAGGCCUUCGGGUUGUAAAGUACUUUCAGCGGGGAGGAAGGCGGUGAAGUUAAUAGCUUCACCGAUUGACGUUACCCGCAGAAGAAGCACCGGCUAACUCCGUGCCAGCCGCCGCGGUAA
RNAcentral lists this ribosomal RNA (504 nucleotides) under uncultured bacterium. RNAcentral's name for it is "partial 16S ribosomal RNA". It matches the Rfam family "Bacterial small subunit ribosomal RNA", at positions 30 to 523 of the family's 1533-position model. The record is from RNAcentral.